Molecule: ribosomal RNA, 544 nt
Filed under: uncultured soil eukaryote
Lineage: Eukaryota
Description: eukaryotic LSU rRNA
Rfam family: Eukaryotic large subunit ribosomal RNA
Source: RNAcentral
UGUUUGGGAAUGCAGCUCUAAAUGGGUGGUAAGUUUCAUCUAAAGCUAAAUAUAGGCGAGAGACCGAUAGCGAACAAGUACCGUGAGGGAAAGAUGAAAAGAACUUUGAAAAGAGAGUUAAAAAGUACUUGAAAUUGCUAAGAGGGAAGCGCUGGAAACCAGUCGUUACUUACAGUCAUAUCGAUUAUUUGCUCCCGAAGGUAUCGGUCGUCAGUGGGUUCACCCUGUGCGGCUGGUUCGGACGGAGGGUAGGUGGUUCUGUGUCUGUGAGUGUGUCAGGAUCAAUUCGAUUCGCAGGAGAAAGCCAUGAGGAAGGUAGGGCUGCUUUCGGGUAGCCUGUUAUAGCCUUGUGGCCAUACUGUGGGUUGGAUUGAGGAAGUGUCAUGGUGCGCCUUUUUGGCUUGGUCCCUUGUUCCUGCUGGAUCAUCUGGUUUGGAUAGCAAUGCUAUGCGGCUGGAGAAGUUCGGUACUGGGUGAGAGGGCCAUAUGCAUUAUCGCGAUCCUGACGAAAUGGUUUUCAUCGACCCGUCUUGAAACACGGACC